GUAAGCGUUCGUAGGCGGUUUGUUAAGUUAGAUGUGAAAGCCCCGGGCUAAACCUGGGAACUGCAUUUAAAACUGGCAAACUCGAGUUUAGGAGAGGGAAGUGGAAUUUCAGGUGUAGCAGUGAAAUGCGUAGAGAUCUGAAGGAACACCAGUGGCGAAGGCGACUUCCUGGACUAAAACUGACGCUGAGGAACGAAAGCGUGGGUAGCAAACGGGAUUAGAUACCCCGGUAGUCCACGCCGUAAACGAUGUCAACUAACCGUUGGGCCUAUAUACAGGCUUAGUGGUGGAGCUAACGUAUUAAGUUGACCGCCUGGGGAGUACGGCCGCAAGGUUAAAACUCAAAUGAAUUGACGGGGGCCCGCACAAGCGGUGGAGCAUGUGGUUUAAUUCGAUGCAACGCGAAGAACCUUACCUACCCUUGACAUCCAGAGAAUCUGUUAGAGAUAGUAGAGUGCCUUCGGGAACUCUGAGACAGGUGCUGCAUGGCUGUCGUCAGCUCGUGUCGUGAGAUGUUGGGUUAAGUCCCGUAACGAGCGCAACCCUUAUCCUUAGUUGCUAACAUUAAGUUGAGAACUCUAGGGAGACUGCCAGUGAUAAACUGGAGGAAGGUGGGGACGACGUCAAGUCAUCAUGGCCCUUAUGGGUAGGGCUACACACGUGCUACAAUGGUCGGUACAGAGGGUCGCGAACUCGCGAGAGUAAGCAAAUCCCAGAAAGCCGAUCUUAGUCCGGAUUGCAGUCUGCAACUCGACUGCAUGAAGUUGGAAUCGCUAGUAAUCGCAGAUCAGAAUGCUGCGGUGAAUACGUU
RNAcentral lists this ribosomal RNA (811 nucleotides) under uncultured bacterium. Its description in RNAcentral is "bacterial SSU rRNA". It matches the Rfam family "Bacterial small subunit ribosomal RNA", at positions 561 to 1372 of the family's 1533-position model. The record is from RNAcentral.